Molecule: ribosomal RNA, 42 nt
Filed under: Cenchrus purpureus (Napier grass)
Lineage: Eukaryota; Viridiplantae; Streptophyta; Magnoliopsida; Poales; Poaceae
Description: partial 18S ribosomal RNA
Source: RNAcentral
AAGCGUAACAAGGUUUCCGUAGGUGAACCUGCGGAAGGAUCA